RNAcentral lists this ribosomal RNA (390 nucleotides) under Pseudopirsonia sp. Its description in RNAcentral is "partial small subunit ribosomal RNA". It matches the Rfam family "Eukaryotic small subunit ribosomal RNA", at positions 587 to 975 of the family's 1831-position model. The record is from RNAcentral. Lineage: Eukaryota; Cercozoa; Imbricatea; Marimonadida.
AGCUCCAGUAGCGUAUAUUAAAGUUGUUGCAGUUAAAAAGCUCGUAGUUGGAUUUCUGGCAAGGCGAACCCGAUCCGGUACUCUGUACCGAGUGUUGGCUGUUUGUCUGCCAUCCUUCCAGAGAACGAUGAUACUGUUUACUCAGUCGUUGUCGCAAUCUGGAACUUUUACUUUGAAAAAAUUAGAGUGUUCAAAGCAGGCGAUUCGCUAUGAAUACAUUAGCAUGGAAUAAUAAUUUAGGACUUUUGUUCUAUUUUGUUGGUCUCUAGAACGAAAGUAAUGAUUGAUAGGGAUAGUUGGGGGUGCUAGUAUUCAGCGGCCAGAGGUGAAAUUCUUGGAUUCGCUGAAGACUAACUUAUGCGAAAGCAUUCACCAAGGAUGUCUUCUUUA